CACUCUUAGUAGUUUGAAUUCCUGGCUCAGGAUGAACGCUGGCGGCGUGCCUAAUACAUGCAAGUCGAGCGAACAGACGAGGAGCUUGCUCCUUUGACGUUAGCGGCGGACGGGUGAGUAACACGUGGGUAACCUACCUAUAAGACUGGGAUAACUUCGGGAAACCGGAGCUAAUACCGGAUAAUAUUUCGAACCGCAUGGUUCGAUAGUGAAAGAUGGCUUUGCUAUCACUUAUAGAUGGACCUGCGCCGUAUUAGCUAGUUGGUAAGGUAACGGCUUACCAAGGCAACGAUACGUAGCCGACCUGAGAGGGUGAUCGGCCACACUGGAACUGAGACACGGUCCAGACUCCUACGGGAGGCAGCAGUAGGGAAUCUUCCGCAAUGGGCGAAAGCCUGACGGAGCAACGCCGCGUGAGUGAUGAAGGUCUUCGGAUCGUAAAACUCUGUUAUUAGGGAAGAACAAACGUGUAAGUAACUGUGCACGUCUUGACGGUACCUAAUCAGAAAGCCACGGCUAACUACGUGCCAGCAGCCGCGGUAAUACGUAGGUGGCAAGCGUUAUCCGGAAUUAUUGGGCGUAAAGCGCGCGUAGGCGGUUUUUUAAGUCUGAUGUGAAAGCCCACGGCUCAACCGUGGAGGGUCAUUGGAAACUGGAAAACUUGAGUGCAGAAGAGGAAAGUGGAAUUCCAUGUGUAGCGGUGAAAUGCGCAGAGAUAUGGAGGAACACCAGUGGCGAAGGCGACUUUCUGGUCUGUAACUGACGCUGAUGUGCGAAAGCGUGGGGAUCAAACAGGAUUAGAUACCCUGGUAGUCCACGCCGUAAACGAUGAGUGCUAAGUGUUAGGGGGUUUCCGCCCCCUUAGUGCUGCAGCUAACGCAUUAAG
Molecule: ribosomal RNA, 886 nt
Filed under: Staphylococcus hominis
Lineage: Bacteria; Bacillati; Bacillota; Bacilli; Caryophanales; Staphylococcaceae
Description: bacterial SSU rRNA
Rfam family: Bacterial small subunit ribosomal RNA
Source: RNAcentral